GAAGUUGUGGCGAAAUUGGUAGACGCGUUGGUUUCAAAAACCAAUGAUUUCAUCAUGAGGGUUCGAGUCCCUCCUACUUCA
RNAcentral lists this transfer RNA (81 nucleotides) under Dinophyceae sp. MGD. RNAcentral describes it as "tRNA-Leu". It matches the Rfam family "tRNA". Rfam says of the family: Transfer RNA (tRNA) molecules are approximately 80 nucleotides in length. Their secondary structure includes four short double-helical elements and three loops (D, anti-codon, and T loops). Further hydrogen bonds mediate the characteristic L-shaped molecular structure. tRNAs have two regions of fundamental functional importance: the anti-codon, which is responsible for specific mRNA codon recognition, and the 3' end, to which the tRNAs corresponding amino acid is attached (by aminoacyl-tRNA synthetases). tRNAs cope with the degeneracy of the genetic code in two manners: having more than one tRNA (with a specific anti-codon) for a particular amino acid; and 'wobble' base-pairing, i.e. permitting non-standard base-pairing at the 3rd anti-codon position. The record is from RNAcentral. Lineage: Eukaryota; Dinophyceae.